AAGUCGUAACAAGGUUUCCGUAGGUGAACCUGCGGAAGGAUCAUUACUACCCAACGCGCAUCCUGUGCUGCUGCUGCUGUGCGUGUGUGUGUCAUGCACGCACGCACUGUAGCACGCACAUGUGCGCAUUUUAUCAACCAACCCUGUGAACGAUAAAUCCAAGGUCUUUUGGGAAGACCGCACGCAAGCCGCGCACACGCACGCGCACGCGCACAUUUUGUGUGUGUGUGUGUGUGGGUGUGGGUGGUUUUGGGUGCACUUCCCGCUUUUACACGUAUUCGACCAUGAAGCAUUGUCAACCACGGCGAUGUUACACACAAAUCCAAACGCACGCGCACGCGCACACACGUGUGUGUGUGUGUGGGUGUGUGUUUGGAAAGAAAACAAAAACAUGAAACAACUUUCAACGGCGGAUCUCUUGGCUCGU
Molecule: unclassified non-coding RNA, 427 nt
Filed under: fungal sp.
Lineage: Eukaryota; Fungi
Description: partial internal transcribed spacer region
Rfam family: Eukaryotic small subunit ribosomal RNA (bases 1-46)
Source: RNAcentral